GAGUUUGAUCAUGGCUCAGGAUGAACGCUGGCUACAGGCUUAACACAUGCAAGUCGAGGGGAAACGACGGGGAAGCUUGCUUCCCCGGGCGUCGACCGGCGCACGGGUGAGUAACGCGUAUCCAACCUGCCUCUGACUGAGGGAUAACCCGUCGAAAGUCGGCCUAAUACCUCAUGGCAUCGUCUGCGGGCAUCCAACGACGAUUAAAGAUUUCAUCGGUCAGGGAUGGGGAUGCGUCUGAUUAGCUUGUUGGCGGGGUAACGGCCCACCAAGGCUACGAUCAGUAGGGGUUCUGAGAGGAAGGUCCCCCACAUUGGAACUGAGACACGGUCCAAACUCCUACGGGAGGCAGCAGUGAGGAAUAUUGGUCAAUGGGCGGGAGCCUGGACCAGCCAAGUAGCGUGCAGGAUGACGGCCCUAUGGGUUGUAAACUGCUUUUAUGCGGGGAUAAAGUGAGGGACGUGUCCUUCAUUGCAGGUACCGCAUGAAUAAGGACCGGCUAAUUCCGUGCCAGCAGCCGCGGUAAUACGGAAGGUCCGGGCGUUAUCCGGAUUUAUUGGGUUUAAAGGGAGCGUAGGCCGUGGAUUAAGCGUGUUGUGAAAUGCAGGUGCUCAACGUCUGCACUGCAGCGCGAACUGGUCCACUUGAGUGUGCACAACGCAGGCGGAAUUCGUCGUGUAGCGGUGAAAUGCUUAGAUAUGACGAAGAACUCCGAUUGCGAAGGCAGCUUGCGGGAGCACAACUGACGCUGAAGCUCGAAAGUGCGGGUAUCGAACAGGAUUAGAUACCCUGGUAGUCCGCACGGGUAACGAUGGAUGCCCGUUGUCAGGCUGUUUCAGCCUGGUGACCAAGCGAAACCAUUAAGCAUCCCCACCUGGGGAGUACGCCGGCAACGGGUGAAACUCAAAGGAAUUGACGGGGGCCCGCACAAGCGGAGGAACAUGUGGUUUAUUUGGAUGAUACGAGAGGACCCUUCCCCGGGCUUGAAUUGCAGACGAACGAUUCAGAGAUGAUGGGGCCCUUCGGGGCGUCUGUGAAGGUGCUGCAUGGUUGUCAUCAGCUCGUGCCGUGAGGUGUCGGCUUAAGUGCCAUAACGAGCGCAACCCCUUUCUUCAGUUGCCAUCAGGUGAUGCUGGGCACUCUCUAGAUACUGCCACCGCAAGGUGUGAGGAAGGUGGGGAUGAGGUCAAAUCAGCACGGCCCUUACGUCCGGGGCUACACACGUGUUACAAUGGCCGGUACAGAGAGUUGAUUUUGUGCAAACACGAUCUAAUCCUUAAAUCCGGUCCCAGUUCGGACUGGGGUCUGCAACCCGACCCCACGAAGCUGGAUUCGCUAGUAAUCGCGCAUCAGCCAUGGCGCGGUGAAUACGUUCCCGGGCCUUGUACACACCGCCCGUC
This 1400-nucleotide ribosomal RNA is filed under the name uncultured bacterium. RNAcentral's name for it is "bacterial SSU rRNA". It matches the Rfam family "Bacterial small subunit ribosomal RNA". The record is from RNAcentral.